This 1435-nucleotide ribosomal RNA is filed under the name uncultured organism. RNAcentral's name for it is "SSU rRNA". It matches the Rfam family "Bacterial small subunit ribosomal RNA". The record is from RNAcentral.
UCUACAGGCUUAACACAUGCAAGUCGAGGGGCAGCAUGGUCUUAUCUUGCUAAGGCCGAUGGCGACCGGCGCACGGGUGAGUAACACGUAUCCAACCUGCCGUCUACUCUUGGACAGCCUUCUGAAAGGAAGAUUAAUACAAGAUGGCAUCAUGAGUCCACAUGUUCACAUGAUUAAAGGUAUUCCGGUAGACGAUGGGGAUGCGUUCCAUUAGAUAGUAGGCGGGGUAACGGCCCACCUAGUCUUCGAUGGAUAGGGGUUCUGAGAGGAAGGUCCCCCACAUUGGAACUGAGACACGGUCCAAACUCCUACGGGAGGCAGCAGUGAGGAAUAUUGGUCAAUGGGCGAGAGCCUGAACCAGCCAAGUAGCGUGAAGGAUGACUGCCCUAUGGGUUGUAAACUUCUUUUAUAAAGGAAUAAAGUCGGGUAUGCAUACCCGUUUGCAUGUACUUUAUGAAUAAGGAUCGGCUAACUCCGUGCCAGCAGCCGCGGUAAUACGGAGGAUCCGAGCGUUAUCCGGAUUUAUUGGGUUUAAAGGGAGCGUAGAUGGAUGUUUAAGUCAGUUGUGAAAGUUUGCGGCUCAACCGUAAAAUUGCAGUUGAUACUGGAUAUCUUGAGUGCAGUUGAGGCAGGCGGAAUUCGUGGUGUAGCGGUGAAAUGCUUAGAUAUCACGAAGAACUCCGAUUGCGAAGGCAGCCUGCUAAGCUGCAACUGACAUUGAGGCUCGAAAGUGUGGGUAUCAAACAGGAUUAGAUACCCUGGUAGUCCACACGGUAAACGAUGAAUACUCGCUGUUUGCGAUAUACUGCAAGCGGCCAAGCGAAAGCGUUAAGUAUUCCACCUGGGGAGUACGCCGGCAACGGUGAAACUCAAAGGAAUUGACGGGGGCCCGCACAAGCGGAGGAACAUGUGGUUUAAUUCGAUGAUACGCGAGGAACCUUACCCGGGCUUAAAUUGCAGAUGAAUUACGGUGAAAGCCGUAAGCCGCAAGGCAUCUGUGAAGGUGCUGCAUGGUUGUCGUCAGCUCGUGCCGUGAGGUGUCGGCUUAAGUGCCAUAACGAGCGCAACCCUUGUUGUCAGUUACUAACAGGUUCUGCUGAGGACUCUGACAAGACUGCCAUCGUAAGAUGUGAGGAAGGUGGGGAUGACGUCAAAUCAGCACGGCCCUUACGUCCGGGGCUACACACGUGUUACAAUGGGGGGUACAGAGGGCCGCUACCACGCGAGUGGAUGCCAAUCCCAAAAACCUCUCUCAGUUCGGACUGGAGUCUGCAACCCGACUCCACGAAGCUGGAUUCGCUAGUAAUCGCGCAUCAGCCACGGCGCGGUGAAUACGUUCCCGGGCCUUGUACACACCGCCCGUCAAGCCAUGGGAGCCGGGGGUACCUGAAGUGCGUAACCGCGAGGAGCGCCCUAGGGUAAAACUGGUGACUGG